CAAAAUGAAACCUCUUUACGUAUUGACAAAGCGAUUGAUGUUUCAAUAAACGUUAAUAAUAUAAAGUCGGUACAAAUGGCAAAUACACAUAUUUACAUCUUGUGUUUAUUUCACAUAGUUUCAUAUGAACAGAAUGGGAUCGCGUUACAAUAUUAAUCGGAACAGCAAUAUUUUUAAUCAUAUUAGUAAUACUCCACGAGACUACAUUGAAUAUACAGGAAUACUAAAUCGGUCGAUUUGGACACAAGAUGAAGUUAAUACCAUGGAAAUUAUAGAACUAGAUUCGUCAUGUAGCACGCUGACACCCAAAUCACCAGACCCACAAACAUCUUGGAAUUAUAACGUACGGAAGAAACACGAUGUCAAGGGUAAUCUUAAUGUUACUAAGACACUAAAUGACAGACCAGAAUGUAGCUUCACAAAGGAAUUUGGAAUUAAUGAUUACAACAAACAAAAUCGAAAUAAAUGUGACGAACGCACUAAAAAUAUUAGCCCUCUGAAAGAAAGAGUCGCGUUCAAUCGCGAAAUUAAUUGUUUCACGAUAGUCAAUAGACACUUCGACUAUUCUGACACCUCUUCGGAAUAUGAAGAUCGUGACAUCGAAUUAUUUGCUGCAAGCGGCGACAUAAAUCGUGAAACCGUAAAUUGGAAUCAAGAUCAUUAUCAAAAAACUAUGAACGCAUUUAAUACGAAAGAUCAUGAGAAAACUAUCUGGAUAUAUUCAUACAAAAAUAAAAAUUUGCUAUCUGAUUAUGAACCAAUAAAUUAUUCGAACGAAACAAGUAGCUCUAGUUCUCGCGAUUUUAAUGUUAACGAUUUGACUAAAAGUAGCAGCAGUACAGAAACAUCUAGGCUGCCGUCACCAAUUCCAACCACGUACGUUCCUAGACUGAAUCUGACAUUAGGCCAAACUCUCUCUACACUCACAGAGGUAACAGAACCCGUUAGACCCGAAAUGUUAAACGUAUGCAACUCUUUACAGAAACAAUUUAACAGUUGGUUCCCUGAUCAAGAUACCGGCGAUUCCGAUGACAGUAAUGAAAAAUCUAGAAAAUUGAUUACUCAGAUGGGUUUAUCGCCACGAUUUAACAAAAGAAGCCGUAGAAGAUGUGCAGAAUUCGUUGGUGACAUAGAAUUACGUUCUCACCCCAAAAAACAAGAUAAACAAACUUCCACUACUGCGAAUCCGAGCUUAGAAGUCCAAAAGCGUUUAGACGAGAAAUUACACUUCAAGUCUAUUUUUACGUCCUCAACAGCUAGCAGGGAUGAUAAGCUUGCAAAAAUCCACGAAGAAAUUGAACCUUUCAAUGAAAGUACCACGUCUCAUGAAGAUUUCGGCACAAAUGAAGCGCGAAUCGAAAGAAAGCGUUUACGGAAACCGCAUAUAACUAUGGAACGCACAUUUACAAAGGACAAAAUUACUGAUCCAAUCGAAAAGUUAGAAUGCAACAACUGGAUUAUUGAAGAGAAUGACAACAAUAAUUCCGCGAUUACAGAUUUUGUUUUAAGUAAUAUGGAAGAGGAUAAUCUCAACUGCGGUGUUAACAUUGAUAGUAAAGUGACUAAACAAGAUAUGCUAUGGACGAGAAACGCGGCGGCAUUACUUAGGCCCGCGCAAUGGGGUGAAUAUUUAGCAAUAACUGAAACACCAUUAACGCCACAAUUAUCACUUAGUAACGUAGAAACAAAAUCGUGCUUUACGCGUUUCAUUAAUUGGUUUAAAUGCUGGAAAUAAAUAAAUGUAAAUAAAGAAAACAA
Long non-coding RNA from Bombyx mori (domestic silkworm), 1758 nucleotides. RefSeq lists it as uncharacterized. Lineage: Eukaryota; Metazoa; Arthropoda; Insecta; Lepidoptera; Bombycidae. The record is from RefSeq and is a predicted model, not a curated record. The transcript has 2 exons.